UGCCUACGGGAGGCAGCAGUGGGGAGUAUUGCACAAUGGGGGAAACCCUGAUGCAGCGACGCCGCGUGAGCGAAGAAGUAUUUCGGUAUGUAAAGCUCUAUCAGCAGGGAAGAAAAAUGACGGUACCUGAGUAAGAAGCACCGGCUAAAUACGUGCCAGCAGCCGCGGUAAUACGUAGGGGGCAAGCGUUAUCCGGAUUUACUGGGUGUAAAGGGAGCGUAGACGGUUGUGCAAGUCUGAAGUGAAAGCCCGCGGCUCAACUGCGGAACGGCUUUGGAAACUGCGUAACUGGAGUGCUGGAGAGG
This 305-nucleotide ribosomal RNA is filed under the name uncultured bacterium. Its description in RNAcentral is "bacterial SSU rRNA". It matches the Rfam family "Bacterial small subunit ribosomal RNA", at positions 335 to 657 of the family's 1533-position model. The record is from RNAcentral.